AGAGUUUGAUCCUGGCUCAGGAUGAACGCUAGCGGCAGGCUUAAUACAUGCAAGUCGUGGGGCAGCAGGUCUGUAGCAAUACAGAUGCUGGCGACCGGCAAACGGGUGCGGAACACGUACAGAACCUUCCUUUAAGUGGGGAAUAGCCCAGGGAAACUUGGAUUAAUACCCCGUAACAUAAUGAAGUGGCAUCACUUUAUUAUUAUAGCAGCAAUGCGCUUGAAGAUGGCUGUGCGGCUGAUUAGGUAGUUGGCGGGGUAAUGGCCCACCAAGCCUACGAUCAGUAACUGGUGUGAGAGCACGACCAGUCACACGGGCACUGAGACACGGGCCCGACUCCUACGGGAGGCAGCAGUAAGGAAUAUUGGGCAAUGGACGCAAGUCUGACCCAGCCAUGCCGCGUGGAGGAUGAAGGUCCUCUGGAUUGUAAACUUCUUUUAUCUGGGAAGAAAUCUAUUUUUUCUAAAGUAGUUGACGGUACCAGAUGAAUAAGCACCGGCUAACUCCGUGCCAGCCGCCGCGGUAAUUC
Molecule: ribosomal RNA, 529 nt
Filed under: uncultured bacterium
Lineage: Bacteria
Description: bacterial SSU rRNA
Rfam family: Bacterial small subunit ribosomal RNA
Source: RNAcentral